CUGGCAGUCAGAGGCGAUGAAGGGCGUGCUAAUCUGCGAUAAGCGCCGGUAAGGUGAUAUGAACCGUUAUAACCGGCGAUACCCGAAUGGGGAAACCCAGUGUGACUCGUCACACUAUCAUUAACUGAAUCCAUAGGUUAAUGAGGCGAACCGGGGGAACUGAAACAUCUAAGUACCCCGAGGAAAAGAAAUCAACCGAGAUUCCCCCAGUAGCGGCGAGCGAACGGGGAGGAGCCCAGAGCCUGAAUCAGCAUGUGUGUUAGUGGAAGCGUCUGGAAAGGCGCGCGAUACAGGGUGACAGCCCCGUACACAAAAGCGCAUGUGCUGUGAGCUCGAUGAGUAGGGCGGGACACGUGGUAUCCUGUCUGAAUAUGGGGGGACCAUCCUCCAAGGCUAAAUACUCCUGACUGACCGAUAGUGAACCAGUACCGUGAGGGAAAGGCGAAAAGAACCCCGGCGAGGGGAGUGAAAAAGAACCUGAAACCGUGU
RNAcentral lists this ribosomal RNA (489 nucleotides) under Salmonella enterica subsp. enterica serovar Agona. RNAcentral's name for it is "partial 23S ribosomal RNA". It matches the Rfam family "Bacterial large subunit ribosomal RNA", at positions 33 to 561 of the family's 2925-position model. RNAcentral also lists the same sequence under 1 other name. The record is from RNAcentral. Lineage: Bacteria; Pseudomonadati; Pseudomonadota; Gammaproteobacteria; Enterobacterales; Enterobacteriaceae.